CAUGAGAUAUUUCUUUAAUAUGUAAAUAUAUUCAACAAUACAAUAAGCUGUUUGAGACUAACUAUUUUUACAGUUGAUAAUCGCCAUGUUUAAACCUAAAUUAACCACAACCUAUAAGAGUUUCAUCAAUCUUGGUAGUGGUUAGACAAAUUCAUGUAAACCACGAAUUCUACGUUUAGGAAGAGGUGGGAGAUUAGACAAUCUCACAAAAUUAUCAUUACUGACAUCACAAGAUUUCUUGCAGGAAAAAGUUAUCUUCUUCUUCCUUGAUAAUUUGGAGCUACCAGUGCUUUCCUUAGCUUCACUUGACAAGUGCUUCAUAUUUCCCCCAGAUUUGGUGCACUCUUUAUAGGCCAGAAGAAAAGGGUCCUCUUGCCACCACUUCAAGCCGCCUUUCCCGGAAGGGCUCCCCUUCAGUUGUACAGAUAAUGGAGGAGGAGGUGGAACUUUCUUUUCAAGAACCAAAAUGCUGGACGAGCCACUAGGAUCAGAAACAUAAUUUUUUUGGUUCAAGUCAUAUAACUCUAAACCAAUGGGACAGUCUUGAUCAUAAUGGUUGACCUUGGGCUCGGACUUGGAGACCCCUGGCUUGUCCUCCCAAGAAAGGGUAUACUUCCUUCC
Molecule: long non-coding RNA, 621 nt
Filed under: Gossypium raimondii (Peruvian cotton)
Lineage: Eukaryota; Viridiplantae; Streptophyta; Magnoliopsida; Malvales; Malvaceae
Description: long non-coding RNA (GRAI_LNC005477)
Source: RNAcentral